Molecule: ribosomal RNA, 507 nt
Filed under: uncultured bacterium
Lineage: Bacteria
Description: partial 16S ribosomal RNA
Rfam family: Bacterial small subunit ribosomal RNA
Source: RNAcentral
GACGAACGCUGGCGGCGUGCCUAAUACAUGCAAGUCGAACGCAUUUUCUUUCAACUUACUUUGCUACACUGAAAGACGGACGGGGGCGUACCGCGUAGUUACACGUCGUUAACCUGCCCAUCAGCUGGGGAUAACACUAGGUAACACCUGCUAAUAUUGCAUAAUGCCUUUUACCGCAUUGUAAAAGGAUGAUGCGCGCUUUUGCGUCAGUCAUGGAUUGACCUGCGGUGCAUUUGCUGGUUAGUGUGGUAACGGCCUACCAAGGCUGCGAUGCAUAGCCGACCUGAGAGGGUGAUCGGCCACACUGGGACUGAGACACGGCCCAGACUCCUACGGGAGGCAGCAGUAGGGAAUCUUCGGCAAUGGACGGAAGUCUGACCGAGCAACGCCGCGGGAGUGAAGAAGGUUUUCGGAUUGUAAAACUCUGUUGUUAGAGAAGAACAAGGAUGAGAGUGGAAAGUUCACCCCUUGACGGUAUCUAACCAGAAAGCCACGGCUAACUACGUG